RNAcentral lists this small RNA (93 nucleotides) under Kaistella antarctica. RNAcentral's name for it is "Chryseobacterium antarcticum Flavo-1 RNA". It matches the Rfam family "Flavo-1 RNA". The record is from RNAcentral. Lineage: Bacteria; Pseudomonadati; Bacteroidota; Flavobacteriia; Flavobacteriales; Weeksellaceae.
CUCUAGCCCCGAUUGCAACGGCAUCCUUUUUCUUUUUAGCAGUGGGAAAAGCUUUGGCAAAAGAAAAAGAUAAAGUGGAAAGCGGGAUUUAGC